Molecule: long non-coding RNA, 610 nt
Organism: Armigeres subalbatus
Lineage: Eukaryota; Metazoa; Arthropoda; Insecta; Diptera; Culicidae
Exons: 3
Source: RefSeq, a predicted model, not a curated record
GAAAAAUUCCUUAGUCUGCCACUAUCAAAUUUGAAAAAUCUUAAGAUCUAGCUUUCUUCUGAGAUGAAAAUUGGUUAAGUAAAAGUAUCGCUCAUCAGCUAUUGCUAAUGAAGUCGGAAGCUGGAAGUGGCUUUGUUUGGCGAUCCUAGCUAUUUGCUCCAAGCUGACCGGCAUUUACGCAGAACAUUCUGAUUCUUGGUGGAAACAAUGAGGUGCCGCCGGAACUCAAAUUAAUGACCCCUACCUCUGCUGCAUGUCGACACACACGAAAGAAGAUUUCUGUGAAAGCCAUUUCGCGGUGUGCACUUUGCAGCGCUGCAUAUGAGAACAAAAAUUGGCAUCUCGCAAGGUCAAGCCAUUCCGGGACAGGUCAACUGCGAAUCGAUAAUAUUCUCCAAAUGGUUCUCCUGGCGUUAGACAUGUAAAUAUGAUGCCCAUACGGAGUGGUUUAAGUAGGGAGUGGUGGAUCCUCAACAGCUGCUGUAGGAAAAUAGGAGAAACUUUGAAAGCGAGCACCGAGACGAGAACAUUGAAUUUGAGGCUCAUAUAUGGAUAAUGCUUCCAAAGAGAGAAUAAACAAAUUCAAUCUAUAUGUGUCCACCUUAUAUGU